CCUUACUUUCGACUCUCUCCCAUGAAGCUGCUGCCCAGAACAGGGCUACUCGGUUGAUGAGCAAGUAGUAGAAGGAGCCUGUUGGGAAGAGGCUUCCAAAGACACAAUCAAGAAAACUACCAAGCCGUGCCCUCAUUGUCAAAUUCCGGUAGAGAAAAAUGGUGCCUUGACCAGAUUUCUUGAUUUGGGCCAAAGACCAGAAUAAGGCUGACAGUGACACAGAGGAAGGUGGAUAAAAGUUCUGUGUCUUUUGUAGUUGUCUACAAGUGCAGAGAGCCAUGCUGAGCACAGAGCAAAGCAUAUAAAACGUACACAGUCCUCUCCUCUGGGAGCUCACAACAUAAAGCAGGAUGCAUCCUAGAAGAUAAGAGUCUUCAGGGAGCGGAAGUGUUUGGUGAGGAAGUGUGAAGGACACGCAAGGCCUAUUCAACAGGAGCAUUCUAGAAGAUGUUGUGGAGAUGGAAAUAAAAUAAUCCCAAAACAAGUGAUGAGUAAAAAUAAAUGCCGAAUGAAUGAA
Molecule: long non-coding RNA, 517 nt
Organism: Ornithorhynchus anatinus (platypus)
Lineage: Eukaryota; Metazoa; Chordata; Mammalia; Monotremata; Ornithorhynchidae
Exons: 5
Source: RefSeq, a predicted model, not a curated record